AUCGGAGGUCUUUCGGUAGUAAGCUGCAAGUGUAGAAUAUCCCCAAACACGGUAUAAGGAUCGAUAUCCCGGAUCCCUACAACAUGAGUCGAGGCUGCAAGUUGAGGGUCAAAACGAACUGGCUUUACUGGCACACAAGAUGGCAAUUUAUGCGAUUCCUCAGGUCCAAGGACAGCCCCCUGUGGACCUGAUGGAAUACAGGUACAGUACAGACAGGUAACCAAUUACAGUACAGUGUAUCAUUUGAAUUAGUACCCGCCCAGCUUAGAGAUAAUGAGGCCAACGGUUAUACAAUCUAAUUAUCUCCAAGCGCACAAAAGACCACGUUUUAUUAUGUCCCAGAAAACUGUAUAAAAAUGCAUAACUUUAACAUUAAUAGAGGAAAACAGCUCAUUCUACCAUUCAUAUAAUGGCUCGCGUUCGGGUACAUUAAAACAUAUGAAUGGCGUUCCAAUCCCACAAACAGAAUGGGCUAUUUCUGCCGUAUAAAGUCCGUUCGGUAUUUUGGAUCGUUAGUCUCUGACGGCGGCCAUGUUUUCAGACGGUUUAGCGGGCAGCG
This is a non-coding RNA of Pelobates cultripes (western spadefoot toad), 559 nucleotides long. NCBI's taxonomy places the organism in Eukaryota, Metazoa, Chordata, Amphibia, Anura, Pelobatidae. The record is from the annotation of a GenBank genome assembly.